Long non-coding RNA from Populus euphratica (Euphrates poplar), 380 nucleotides. RefSeq lists it as uncharacterized. The transcript is spliced from 2 exons. The record is from RefSeq and is a predicted model, not a curated record. NCBI's taxonomy places the organism in Eukaryota, Viridiplantae, Streptophyta, Magnoliopsida, Malpighiales, Salicaceae.
CAAAAACAGGACAUGUAAAUUAUUUACAAUGAGCAGAGCAUAACCAGCUUGGGAAAACUCAUUCAGAGUUCUACAAACAUUCAUGUCAAUGUGAAGCAUUUCAUACUGGUCAAGAAUAGAACAGAUUUUUCGAAAUGUCAACUUUCCACUGGAAUUAAUCUCUAUACAAAAUAGUGUUUCACACAUCAAAAUGCAACUUACUAAUACAUAAUUAGCUUCCGACUUUCGUUUUGCAAAGCAGGAAACAAAUAGGCCGUGACUACUACUAAAUUGCACAACAUUCAGAUUCAAAGUUUGCCUUCUAACAAAAAAGAGAGUUUUGUUAUGUAUAAAUGGUAAGGCAAAAAAUUAUGAGAUCUAUAAGCUCCAUCUAUAAGCAG